GGGCCCUUAGCUCAGGUGGCUAGAGCACAGUGCUGAUAACGCUGGGGUCGAUGGUUCGAGUCCAUCAGGGCCCACCA
RNAcentral lists this transfer RNA (77 nucleotides) under Candidatus Omnitrophota bacterium. RNAcentral's name for it is "Candidatus Omnitrophica bacterium tRNA-Ile". It matches the Rfam family "tRNA". From Rfam's summary of the family: Transfer RNA (tRNA) molecules are approximately 80 nucleotides in length. The record is from RNAcentral. Lineage: Bacteria; Pseudomonadati; Candidatus Omnitrophota.